GACGCAACCAAGCUCAAGGAGGAGCUCGAUGAAGAUCUUGCCCUUUGUGUUGUUUCGUUCUAGUUGGUCAGUAGUGGAGCCCAGUUGGGGUCGAUCAGGGACCUUUGUCGCAUUUGGGGUUCUUCUUUUAUUUUGGUUCCGUAGUCGGACCUUGAUUGUAUCUGGAUGAUGUAAUGCUUUAUUCAUGUAAUUGUGUGAAGUGGCGAUUGUAAGCCAACUAUGUAUCUCUUUCCCAUAUGUAUUACAUGGGUUGUGUGAAGAUUACCUCACUUGCGACAUUGCUUUCAAUGCGGUUAUGCCUCUAAGUCGUGCUUCGACACGUGGGAGAUAUAGCCGCAUCGAGGGCAUUACAAGUUGGUAAUCAGAGCCUUCCCCGACCUUAGGAGCCCCAUUGCUUGAUCGUUUUUAGCGGCCGAGUUGUGUCUAGAAAAAUAUUUUGAGCCAUUUAGGAUCAUAUAUAUCGGAGAGUUAGGAAUUCUUUUUACUCCCCAGUCUCUUCAUCGCUCUGGUAAGGCAUCCUGACGUAGAGUUUUGACUCUUCUCUUCUCAAAUUUCACUAAAUUUUUUUUAGGAUCACGCGGGUAUCUUGGAAUCGUUCCGAUGGUUUUAUGAUGAGAACAUUGUCUUGGUGCCUCCUGUCAGGGGUUUAGUGGAAGUGUCCCGGGGAGUUGAGCUCUGAGGUGUUGUCGUCAUAAUUUUAUCGUUGCAGUUCUGGAAUACCUGAGUUUAGUACGCCGACAUCGAAAAUCUCUUUUAUGCAGUUGUUGGUGAGAUAACCCCGAUAACCCAGUACUGAGGUGAGUACGGGAGUAUUGCCAUAACUUGUAUAACGGAUGCUUUUCGAAGGUUGAGGUAGACGAUUUCCGAAGGUUUCUUGGUUAUGUGUUGAAGGAUGGAUACAGCUGGAUGUAGGAUUUGUUAGUUUUGGGUGAGAUAUUAUGCUUCCCCUGUAUCCCCAACACCUGAUUGCAUAACCGGAAAGGUUCGGGAGUUUCAUAGGUGGGAAAUCAAGUAGCUCUUAGGAUAUCUUUCCGACAGAUGUAUGAUAUGAAAUUGGGGUUCGACGUCUAGUGGUCCGCCUAUUCACGGUUGGUUUUACAGUGGUCUUGUUGUGUCUUAAAGAGUCCUUGGCUAUGCCGACUCGGGGACGCUUCGUAUGUCAUGUGCACUGCCUUGUACAUGAUGGUGCUGUACGAUCGAGCCCGUGUAGGCCCCACCACGAAAACUUCGGACGAAAUUUCUAUCAUAUGUUUGUUCUAGCUUAUUCUGCAAGCCAAAUCCUUUGUUUUGUUUUAUUUGUGGUAUUCGAGUUGCUUCGAAGUCAAGUGUUGAUUCCAUACCUUUCUUAAAUGGUGUUCUCAUAUUUCUAUGGGAGUGCUAAUCCUUUCGAUCAUCGAGAUUGUCAUGUCAAUUCUUUCCAACCGGUGUGCUUCUUUUCAAGUGGAUCCGAUCAUUUCAACAUUCGCAAGAUCACCUCUCAGUUUUCUCAACGGUGUUUGUUUCAUCCGUCCCAAGUUGUUUUUGUUUUCCCGCCCUCCCACCCCUUUUUCUUCAAGGACUAAGAUUUCUUCUUCAAGUAUCCAUUUUAUUGAUGGGAAGUUUCUCCAUUCUUUUUCCGUCAAUGUUCUUACCCGGUGGUUCUCAAGAAGAUGUUCUACUAGUUCGUCAUUCCUCAUUCCUUUCUCUUCUCCGGUGGAUUCAAGUCAAGUUUUGUUGAUCAUACCUUUUUCCUCAUUUCAAUGUCUUCUCAUACCGGUGCACCUCAUUAUCAUUCUACUUCUCGCUAUUUGUUAUUCCGGAGUGCUCAAGAUAUCUCGAAGAUUCGUGUUUCCACUCUGCAUUCGUUCAAGCUCUUUCGAGAUUGGUAUCUCAUUCAAGUCAUUUAAUUCUACCGGUGCAAUAUCUAUUUCAAUCAAUCGUUCAACGCUGUAUCCUUUUAGUAGGCCCUAACCCACAGGUCUUUUUCCAGGAUCUUACCUGACUCUCCCAACUUUCCCGAAGUUAUUCUCAAAUUCAUUGCAAAGGUUGACGUAAGAAUGAAUUAUCAUCAGUCAAAUGUAUUUCUCCAAGAUCUUUCCAAUUCUUUCAUUUUUGGUUCAACCUUUCAAAUUGUCAUUCCGGAGUGCCUCAAUAAUUCUUGGUGGUGUUUCUCGUUGUCAUUCUCAUCAUUUGAAUACCGAAGAAGAGUUUCUCUUUAAUCUUGCUCUAUUCUCUUAAAGAUUCAUGGUGCUAGCUUGUUGCCAUCCUCUCAUAAUUGUUUUCGAUUGUGAGAAUCUUUUUCACCCAUCAGGAGAUAUUCAAGAGUCUUCUCAGUUUGUCAUCCAGAGUCCAUCAAUUCAGGUUUAUUCAUUCUCAGCCGUCAGUUAUCAUUCUCCUAUCUUGCCGGUGCAUCUAUCGAAUAUCCUCUAAUCAGUUCUUGAUCUCUUUGUUCUCAUGUAUCUAGUUUGUCUCAAGCACCUUCAUUCAUUUGCUAAUUCUUACCGGUGAUGCACCCCUACUUCGAUCAUUUUCAAUUCUUACGGUGGUUCUUUCAAGAUCUCUCUUCCUUGUUCAUCAUAUCAAUUCAUCUGUUGUUCCAAUCCUACCGGUGGUUCGUUGAAGACCUUCUCAAGUUUACGCUAUAUCUCUUUUAAUCCUUUCUACGAGAAUAAGUAGUAUGCCAAAUCCGUUGAUUGUCGUCAAUUUAAUUGGUGAAGGAUAAGAAUAACAUAAUUCUUAUUCUUGUUCAUCCAAGUGAUUAAUUCUUUAUUCCGGAGGCCCUUAAAAUUCUUGGUUUCAUUUGUUUCAUCUUCUCUUUUUCCCGGAGUUCCAAGCUCUAAUUAUCACGGAGAUCCAUCUAAAUCAUUGCAAGGAUUCACCUUGUGUUUUCAAUUUCUCUUUCUUUUCAUUCCUUUUGUUUACCGGAGUUCUUCAUGGAGGUUCUACAUGAUGGUUCAUCAAGGAUUUAAUUCCUUCUCAAAGUUUUCAUCAAGAUUCAUUUCUAGGGAGCUCAAGCUUUCUUCAUAUGGUAAUCCUGAGUGCAAUUCUUUCUACCAUAUUUUGGAGGUGGUAUUAUGUCAUUCUUGAUAAUUUGAGUUCAUGUUCCAUGAUUCACAUGUUGUUAAGAAUGAGUUAUUUUUAAAUCCAUCAACCUCGUUGUUGGAGUUAUCUUGUGUCAUAUUUCACCUAAAAGCCUUCCAUUGGAAUGUUGCUAUUUGUGGUGCUUGCCAAUGAUCCAAGUUAUCUCUUUAUCAUCUUGGUGGAAGAAGUGUUCAUCUCUUCGUCGAUCUAAAGCUAGCAAUCGUUUCCGUUAGUGGCCGGUUGUCACCUCAUAAUUUUGAGAUGUUUUCCAUAAGCCCACUACAAGCUUAUUCGUUUCGUUGUUGGUUUUUCCCAACAACCCCGUUGUAACCUUCUUGGAAGAGUGCUUUCCAAGCUCAAUUGUGGCAGAAGUUGCCAUUUCCCCCUCCAUUCUGUUAUUCCAAUGACCUAUCUUCUAUUCUUUCUUCCGGAGGCAUUGUGACGUUGCUCUUUUCACUCACCAUCUCGAUUCGUGAGGAUCGUGUUUUUUUUCUUGCUUAUCCAUUUAACCGAAGUGUCGUGUUUUCAUUCGAGUUCUCUAAUCUUAUCAAGUUUUCCCUCCUUCCUCAACUGGAGAGCUGUCUGAAAUCCUUCUUACCCAUUGUGCCAUUCUUUCAAUAGUUCCGGAGGCAGUGUGUUGUUGAUUUCAUCAAGUAACAUCCCAUCUUCUCAAGUUCAUGUUCUAUUCUUUCCAUGUUCAACCGGAGUACUGCCCGAAUUCUUCCCCUCUCAUCUUGUUUUAACCGGAGUGGUUUCGAAUUCUAUCUUGUCCAUUAAACUCUUGAUUCAUGUCUUUGCAACCUUCAAGUUCUCGUAAUGUUCCUUGUUCCUCUUUCUAACGGAUUGUUUGCAAUCUCGUUCAUCUCCUUUGUAUUCUUUCUUUCAAUUUGUUCAACCUCUCAAGGUUCUUUGGUUUCACUCAUUGGUCAAAGAAGCAACUUAGUUUUACCUCUUCUCUUCCUCUUCCGUUUCUCUCCGGUGCCAUCCUAGAUCUCGGGACGAGAUCCUCUUGUAGUGGUGGAGUGUUGUAACGCCCCGAGACCGACGAUCCAGAAGACUUCCAGCUAUUCCGAGUUCCUCCGUGUGUUUUUUAUUUGUGCUUGCUCUAUUUAUUUUUGCAUUGCAUCAUGUCAUCAUGCAGUCAUCUCUUAAAUCUUUUGCAACUCUUCCAAAUAAAUUGUAUGGAUUUUUCGAUCCAUUUAAACCAAGGGAACUCACAUGGUGACUUCUCUUUAUAACUUAUCCUCCAAUAUUAGGGAGCUAUAUUAAAUAUUUCUUUAUUUCGGAAAUCACCAAAACACACUUGCAAAAUAAUUCCCCAUGCCUUUGACCUCAAACGUUGUCCAAUAAUUUAUUUCAUCAUUUUUCGGAGCUCCACCAAAAAUCCGAACAUUUUUGGACACUUCUAAAUCCUAGUCCUUGUUCAAACCAUUUGAAUUAAAUUCAAAUGACUUUGAAUUUAAUUCUUGCAAUCUUGCCCACUCCAUUUUUCUUGGGACAAGCGCAUUUUUGCGAGUCCGGGAAAAUUAUCCCCGUGCCCAACUCUUUCUCUAACCUUUCUUUUCUUCCCUUUUUCUUUCUCUUUAUUUUCUAUUUUGAUAAGAGAAUUAGAGAUAGAGAGAGAGAAGGAGCCCUGCAGCCCAGCAGCCAGGCCAAGCCUGCUCCCUCCGCAGCCCAAGGCCCAGCCGGCCCCUGCCUUCUAACCCUAGCCGCACCCUUCUCCCGAUCCCAUCUCCCUCCCGCAGCGCCUCCAUCUCCCACCUCUGCGCCCCAUCGCUCCUCGUCCCGAUCCCCAUCUCCUCCCUCGCGCCACCUUCUCCCUCGCUCGACCCCAUCGCUAGCAGCCGCCGCUUCAUUCGUGGCAUCGGCCGGACCUCCAGCGCCGCCGCCUCAAGCUCCAGAUCCGGUCGGCCCCUGCCCAUGCUCCGCCGCCCCGUUCAAGUACCUCCAUCGGAGCACGCCCGCUGAGCUCCGUCACGCGCCCUCAUCGGCCCUCGUCCCCGCCUCCUCGUCUACCUGACGCCGCCGCCGGCCUCUGCUUCUCAGCAGCCCCGCGUCCCCCUCUGCUCCACCACGCACGCAGCGCCCGAGCCCGGCCGCGUCGCAGCUUCUGCUGCCGGUGACCUCGCCACCGGCCUGCUACCUCGUCCACAACCCCAAGCUCUCCUCUGCGUCGUCAUCAGCCGUAGUUGCAGAGGAGUUCGUCUGCCGCCAUGGAGUUUCGCCACCAGCCAGGAUCCGGCGUCCCGAGGCCGAUCUGUCCACCCCAGCCGUCCCUGCGCCUCCCCGUCGUGCUGCAUCAUCAGAGCUUGCGGCGCCGCCGUUACCCUCCUGCCUCCACGCCGUCUUUGUUCAGGCGGAGAUCGAACACACGCUGCCCCUGCGCGUUAACCAAACCACCCAAUCGCACCCUGCUGCUUCGGUCGCUAUUGGUUUGUUUGGCCAUCAUGGAUAUGUUGCUGCGGACGCCAAGUACGACUACACCACGGUGAUACAUGAACGACUACACGGCUACGACAUCCUAGAAUCUCUAAGUACCGUGGCACCGAAGACUUUUGAUGCGUCAAGUCCCUCUCCGACAAUUGUUGGACUACCAUCCCGUGCAUUGCACCAAGUACCACGACAUCGUCGGCCCUACAAGUUCAACUAUGGUUGCCGUGUACGACUACCGUCGACCCUCGAAGACCCCGUGGACCCCGAUUCAUCUACGGGACAUGAACAACUGCUACCACUACCGUCGCCGUGAACCACUACUUCCACUACGGCAUGUGUACGACUACUUCCCACGACGACACGUGAACAACUACUUCCUCUACGACCGCUACGAGAACGUCUACUUCCUCUACAUCGUACCGAACGCGUUCCGCCCCGAAUGCACGCUUCGAAGGUAUAACCCGAGACGACCGCGAUGAGAUGCCCUUGCAUGUAUGAGAUGCACCGUUUUUGCCGUGUCCGAAUUGUCACUCAUUUCCAUGCCCCUAACCUGUGGGACACCCGAUAUUCGGGAUCACCCCACCAUCUCUAGCAUGUUCCGCACAUCCGCACGCUUCCUUUUGCACCGGUAUCUCCUUGAGCUACCGGAACCGGAAUGUUGCCGUGGCACCAUUUCCGUUUCACCGUCGUGGCACCUUUUUCCUUCUGCCAUGGCGACAAAUGCUUCAUAACAUGCUCAUGCCAACAUUUUCGUAAAAUUGCAUAAAACUUGCAUAUGUCAUCCGCAUCAUGAUAACAACAUUUAAAAUGUUUAAACUUGUUGUUGCAUUAAAUUGCUAAAUGCAUAUGGGGAUUUACCGGAUUUGUUGUUUUUAUAUCCGGCCCCAUUUAAAUUGUUUAGAUGGUAUAGUUUAUAUUAUGCUUCACCUCUUGCCAUGUUUAACAACAUUUAAUAUUGUUGGGUACAUAAACGGGAUCAAACUAAAUAACUUAUCGUGGUGUUUCGUCAAUAUGCAGUUGCAUAUUGAGCUCCAUUUAAUUUGUAGGGUUGUUUGUGCACUUUGCCAUGCCAUGCUUCAUUAAACCGGACAUGCAUCAUGCUUGUUUGUGCAUCAUGACUUGUUUAUGUGAUGUUUGUUUACCAUGGUUGUUUGCUUCUUUCCGGUUUGCUUCUCUUGUUAGCUUCGGUUUCGUCCCGGAGUUGUGAGGAUUCGUUUGACUACGUCCGUUUGUCUUCUUCAUGGACUCGUUCUUCUUCCUAGCAGGAUUUCAGGCAAGAUGACCAUACCCUCGAAAUCACUUCUAUCUUUGCUUGCUUAGUUGCUCGCUCUUUUGCUUGCCUAUGCUGCGAUACCUACCACUUGCUUGUCAUGCCUCCCAUAUUGUUGAACCAAGCCUCUAACCCACCAUGUCCUAGCAAACCGUUGAUUGGCUAUGUUACCGCUUUGCUUAGCCCCUCUUAUAGCGUUGUUAGUUGUAGGUGAAGAUUGAAGUUUGUUCCUUGUUGGAACAUGGAGAUGUUGUUCCUUGUUGGAACAUGUUUACUUGUUGGGAUAUCACAAUAUAUCUUAUUUAAUUAAUGCAUCUAUAUACUUGGUAAAGGGUGGAAGGCUCGGCCUUAUGCCUGGUGUUUUGUUCCACUCUUGCCGCCCUAGUUUCCGUCAUAUCGGUGUUAUGUUCCCGGAUUUUGCGUUCCUUACACGGUUGGGCUAUAAUGGGAACCCCUUGAUAGUUCGCCUUAAGUAAAGCUUCUCCAGCAAUGCCCAACAUUGGUUUUACCAUUUGCACUAACAACCUACCACCUUCCCUUGGGUUCUGCAGACUCAAGGGUCAUCUUUAUUCUAACCCNNNNNNNNNNNNNNNNNNNNNNNNNNNNNNNNNNNNNNNNNNNNNNNNNNNNNNNNNGGGCAGCCUGCGGGGCCACCUCGGGGAAACUUGAGGGUUGGUUUUACUCGUAGCUUGACCUAUCUGAGUGUGCCCUGAGAAAGAGAUAUGUGCAGCUCCUAUCGGGAUUUGUCGGCACAUUCGGGCGGUGUUGCUGGUUUAGUUUUACCCUGUCGAAAUGUCUUGUUGUACCGGGAUACCGAGUCUGAUCGGAACGUCUCGGGUGGAGGUCUAUUCCUUCGUUGACCGUGAGAGCUUGUCAUGGGCUAAGUUGGGACACCCCUGCAGGGAUUUGAACUUUCGAAAGCCGUGCCCGCGGUUCUGGGCAGAUGGGAAUUUGUUAACGUCCGGUUGUAGAAAACCCGAAGUUGACCUUAAUUAAAACACAUCAACCGCGUGUGUAACCGUGAUGGUCUCUUUCCGGCGGAGUACGGGAAGUGAACACAGUGUUGGAGUUAUGCUUGACGUAGGUUGCUAUAGGAUCACUUCUCGAUCAUACUUUUAUCGACCGUGCUUUGCCUUCUCUUUUCGCUCUCAUUUGCGUAUGUUAGCCACCAUAUAUGCUAGUCGCUUGCUGCAGCUCCACCUCAUUACUCCAUCCUUCCUAUAAGCUUAAAUAGUCUUGAUCUCGCGGGUCGAGAUUGCUGAGUCCCCGUGGCUCACAGAUACUUUCAAAACCAGUUUGCAGGUGCCUAUGUUACCGUGCAGAUGACGCAACCAAACUGAAGGAGAAGCUCGAUGAAGAUCUUGCCCUUUGUGUUGUUUCGUUCUAGUUGGUCAGUAGUGGAGCCCAGUUGGGGUCGAUCAGGGACCUUUGUCGCAUUUGGGGUUCUUCUUUUAUUUUGGUUCCGUAGUCGGACCUUGAUUGUAUCUGGAUGAUGUAAUGCUUUAUUCAUGUAAUUGUGUGAAGUGGCGAUUGUAAGCCAACUAUGUAUCUCUUUC
Molecule: long non-coding RNA, 8319 nt
Filed under: Triticum aestivum (bread wheat)
Lineage: Eukaryota; Viridiplantae; Streptophyta; Magnoliopsida; Poales; Poaceae
Description: long non-coding RNA (TAES_LNC006884)
Source: RNAcentral